Molecule: long non-coding RNA, 620 nt
Organism: Tyto alba (common barn owl)
Lineage: Eukaryota; Metazoa; Chordata; Aves; Strigiformes; Tytonidae
Exons: 3
Source: RefSeq, a predicted model, not a curated record
CCUCGUGUCCCCGUGUGCCCAUGUCCCCACGGCCCUGUGUCCCGUGUCCCCGUGUCCCCCCAUGUCCCGUGUCCCCCCGUGUCCCAUGUCCAAACACACCCGUGGCCCCAAGUCCCCGUGUCCACGUCCUGUGUCCCCGUGUCCCCGUGUCCGAUCGCACCCGUGUCUCCGUGCCCCAAUGUCCACCCCUGUCCCCACGCCCCCGUGUCCCGUGUCCGUGUCCCGUGUCCCCCGUGUCCCGUGUCCCCUCCCAGGCCACCCACGCUGGGCCGGGGCCGGGUGGGGACCGGGCAGACCGGCCCCACGGCCCCGUGACGACACCGGGUCCCCGUCACCGGCCCCGUGGGAUUUAAGGGCGGCCCCGGGGCCCCCACGGGCACCGACGGGACCCAGUGGCAGGAUGUGUGCGGGCGCCCAGUGUCUGAUGAACCUGCUGCGCUGGGCCUGGGGGGUCCUGAGGGGCCUCUGGGGGGGGCCCGGCGCGAGCACCCCCCCCCCCGCCGGCCGAGAGGACGACGCUGGUGCCGGGCAAAGAGGACUGAGCCCCCCCCCCGAGCCCCCCAACACCCCCAAAUCCCCCCCAACCCCCCCCCCCGGGUGAAUAAACGCCCUUGAACCCC